Long non-coding RNA from Telopea speciosissima, 591 nucleotides. RefSeq lists it as uncharacterized. The record is from RefSeq and is a predicted model, not a curated record. The transcript is spliced from 3 exons. Lineage: Eukaryota; Viridiplantae; Streptophyta; Magnoliopsida; Proteales; Proteaceae.
CCUCCCAUUUUACUAAAAGAAAUGCAGAACAAACUACACAAAUUUAAAUGUAUGGAUUGCCAUCACAUAUGCAAGGAUGAUUUUAUUCAGUAAUUGUAAAUAACAGACACUAUAUCACAACCAAAAAUGUAAAGCAUACAAAUGAUGAUUUCAAAAAUAUGCAACAUUGCAUACAUAGCCUUUCAACUUGCUUUUCUUAUUUCAGAAGGCUUUUAGCAGUAGUAUAAUGCAUGUUCCAGCAAAAUUCCUCAUAUCCAUGCUAAAAUGUGUUACAUGAUCUGUAACAAUCAAAGAUGAGGCAUAAGAAAAUAACUCUUAAACUUCAAGUGCCAGAUAUGUGCCUCAGAAUGAUUAGACCAUAUUUAACUUAAUUUUGUUAUUAGCAUAAGACUUCUGAACAUGUAUUCAUGCUUUGUUUUUAACCUAAACAUAAAUGCAUGCUGAUAGUGUUUCCACCAUAUUUCCUAGGGUUCCACAAAUUUUACAAUGUUCUGUAUUGUCGAUUCAGCUAAAUUUUUAACAUACUAAAAUCAUCAACAACAUCCCUCAAAGCCUAAGAAAACAUUACAAAAAGAAAAAGAAAAAAGAAAA